Molecule: ribosomal RNA, 231 nt
Filed under: uncultured Rhodobacterales bacterium
Lineage: Bacteria; Pseudomonadati; Pseudomonadota; Alphaproteobacteria; Rhodobacterales
Description: partial 16S ribosomal RNA
Rfam family: Bacterial small subunit ribosomal RNA
Source: RNAcentral
GGCGUAAAGCGCUACGUAGGCGGAUUCAGAAAGUUGCGGGGUGAAAUCCCCGGGGCUCAACCUCGGAACUGCCUUCAAAACUAUUGGUCUUGAGUUCGAGAGAGGUGAGUGGAAUUCCGAGUGUAGAGGUGAAAUUCGUAGAUAUUCGGAGGAACACCAGUGGCGAAGGCGGCUCACUGGCUCGAUACUGACGCUGAGGUGCGAAAGCGUGGGGAGCAAACAGGAUUAGAU